This 254-nucleotide ribosomal RNA is filed under the name uncultured bacterium. RNAcentral's name for it is "partial 16S ribosomal RNA". It matches the Rfam family "Bacterial small subunit ribosomal RNA", at positions 524 to 776 of the family's 1533-position model. The record is from RNAcentral.
UACGUAGGGGCCAAGCGUUGUCCGGAUUUAUUGGGCGUAAAGAGCUCGUAGGCGGUUGGGUAAGUCGGGUGUGAAAACUCCAGGCUCAACUUGGAGAUGCCACCCGAUACUGCUCUGACUUGAGUUCGGUAGGGGAGUGGGAAAUUCCUGGUGUAGCGGUGAAAUGCGCAGAUAUCAGGAGGAACACCGGUGGCGAAGGCGCCACUCUGGGCCGAAACUGACGCUGAGGAGCGAAAGCGUGGGUAGCAAACAGG